Long non-coding RNA from Numida meleagris (helmeted guineafowl), 1470 nucleotides. RefSeq lists it as uncharacterized. Lineage: Eukaryota; Metazoa; Chordata; Aves; Galliformes; Numididae. The record is from RefSeq and is a predicted model, not a curated record. The transcript has 3 exons.
GCCAUCCCAUCACGUGAAUGCAGCUACAACAUUAUAAAGACACCCUUUUCUGGCUGAAUUCUCUGCCUGCACAGGACCAGCACAGAAUCACACCGCUCCGAAGAAUCCACGCAGAAGGGAAGAGGUUCAGGGAAAGGAGUUAAAUAUAGGUUUCUCAGAUGCAGUACAGCUGAACCAACUGAGCUGUGAGUCAGACUUUACGAUAUUAUAGAAUAAACCUGUUUUGGAUUGCAGCCAUUGGACACGAGAAACUAGACACAACGGGGAAUGUACUUCCUGGAAAUAAACCAAGCAGUCUGGAAAAAGCGAGAGUUAUCCUAAUUUGAGUGCAAUCUUCAUACCAAACCUCAAGUCCUCUAUGGAUUCAGUGGUCUGCUUAAUUAUUCCCACUCUCACUUAGAUCUAAGGACCAUCUCAUGCCCUGCAAGAUUUGCUGGUAUUCAUCAAAAGUACGCAUGAGUCUCAGAAGCUGGUGUGGAGUUGCACUAUGACAAUUUUCAGUCAUCACUGUUUUCUGUACCGAGACAAUGAUACUCUAUGUCUGUGUUACGGAACGGGUUGGAAAGCAAGCCAGUAGUAUAAUGUCUCAUGCAGAGAGCAGUAUUAGUGUCCAAGAGGAAAGCAGUCACCUAAAUCAUUCCUCAGACUUGCACUAAUUUCAAAGAAACCUGCUCACUCAUCUUUCAGCUAGAAGCCAAAAGCUCUGCCAAAGCAUCAGGCAGCCCAGGCAGGUUUGGGAAAAGUGCAUAUGGUGCGGGGAAGUGGCCAGAAGUUGUUUGGGAACACGAGUGAUAAAAGACUGGAAAAGUAAACAAAGCCAUACUCCAACAAUUCAACAUUUUAUCAAAAUUCAGGUGAGAAUAAAAAGAAUUAACCAGACAAAUCCAUUGCAAUAUUGGCAUUUAGCACAAAACUAAAGUUUGGAAAUGGCAAAUAUGUCAUAAUUCCACAUUAAAUUCAAGGAAUUAAAUGCUUCAUUGAUCUAAGAAAACAUUCUCAUUCUUUCCAUCUAUGAGCCAUCUGUGGCAGAUUUGUAUUUACAGGGAGAGGGAUGAGGAGUAACACGCUACCAUGUCACCAACAUUCCUUCCUCACCAGAAAAGGAAUUAGAGAAUGAAUCUCAAUAUCUGCCAAAUGAACUAUCAGCUGAAUAUGUUUUUAAGGUGCUAUGCCACACAUUUCAGAGUUAUAAGCAAUGGAUGUGUAAAAGCUGUUCUUGCAUCACAAAAAAUUCACUUUAGAACAGUGAUAUGCAAGAUCUAGGCGAGUCAUGUAUUUAUGUACCUAUUGUUUGCUAUGUACUUAAAGAGGCAAUAGAUUGGUCGAACGGUGAUGUUUCUACUUGGCCCAGAAAAUCAAGAACGACUGUUAGAAAAUUUUGAGUUAGUUACUUGGACAAGUAACAUGAGACUGGGUAGCCUCCUCAGAUUAAGAGAAACCAACAAUACUUACAACACAUAAAAUAUAACU